This is a non-coding RNA of Danio rerio (zebrafish), 2179 nucleotides long. NCBI's taxonomy places the organism in Eukaryota, Metazoa, Chordata, Actinopteri, Cypriniformes, Danionidae. The record is from Ensembl.
CAGCCAUUUUCUCCUACAUUGGGACUCAAUGGUCAAAAUGGGUUUCCUUUGUUCCUAAAGGGAUCUAAAUCUUGAUUUCAUCAGCCUUUUAUGGACUAUUUAAUACAUACAGUGUUUCUGUUUGCAGGAUCUGAGAAGAAGGAAGAUGAAAUGUUGGAUGAUAUCCCUUUGACAUUUUUACACUUUUUUUCUCUUCCUGGAAACCAUCUUUGUCCCAGCAAACUAGGUCAUGGCACACCCAUAUAACAGUAUUUUAUUCUUUAGUCAAAUGCUACCGAAUAAAAAUUUUGUAUUUUGAUUUUAUAUUACUAACUAGGAUGUUUAGAAAAAGAAAGAAAGAAAAACACAUGAAAAUUGCCAACUGCUUUUAAGGCCCUGCCUUGCUUAGGGCCAAUCAUUAAUCAAUAACAAACAAGGCAGGCCAAAGAGAAAAAAGGACGAUUGGCCUUUUACAAAAAUGCUGAAUCACAGACAGAAUGACAAGAGAAAUUCACUCGUCCUUCACCACUGAGAGGGAUUUCCUUUCUCUUUACGAAGGUAAUAGUUUAAACGACCUUAUUUCACACACACAAAAUUGGGAAUGUUUGUUUAAACGUUUUACAUUUAAAGUCACAUUUGCCUUUAAGUACAAUUAUUGUUUCCUCACUGUGUAUUUUUAUUAUUUGUUUAAAAAAUAGACAGAUAAAGGUGUAAAAAUUAUUAUUCUAAACACCUCUCAUUGCUGACCCAUGUCCAGGCGACCUCAGAAAUAGCCUGUUGUUUAAUGGCUUGUCUGCUGUUCUCAUUUUCAACAUGGCGUCUUCACAAGGACAUCAUUGUGGAAAGGAAAGCUUGCUGCGCCAUUUAUGGGCGAGGCUGUCAGUCUGUCGGUUUCUACUGACUUUGCCUUUUAAUACGUGGCUAUCAUUGCAAACAAAUCGACAAGAUGUGCUCGCUCUUUAAGAAAGCAGGAUAUUGCACAAAAACUCGCAUUCAUUUCUUGUGCGUAAAGCGCGCCCUCGACGCUAAGCUCUGGAAACCCUGUGGCACAAAGCACACAGCAGUAAUCUGAGAGCUUGGACGCCUGCCGCGAAAUGACUGCACCCACCUAACCAUUUAAGGUCGGAGAAAGAGUCUCAAACACUGUGUGGCAUUUCAAUCAGCAAGUACAAAGGGAAUAUCCAGUCCUCUGUGCUCUCUCUCUCGUCCCCCUUUCAAGAACAUUCGGCGCAGUUUAUUCGCCAGCCAUUUCAAAGGAGCAUUUGACGUGAUGCAUGCAGGAUUUGCGCACUGCUUAUAGCUUUCUCAGAUCUUCUGCUGAAUUUAUCACACUGUUGCAACACAUACCGGUAUGUGGUAUGCAAAUCGUCGUGUGUUCGCACAAUUUAUGGUAGUGUAAAUCUUCUCAGUUUAUUCGGAUAUUAUUAAUUCCCAAGUAAAUCAUCAGUGGAAUUUGAUUUUAUUAUUUUUUAAAUCUCUAUUUCCCCUUUUUCUGUGCGUUUUGGGGCGACGCCAAUUCCAAUUUAUCAAGCAGAAUUGUAUUGCGCAAGGAAACGCGCCAUCUGUUUUCCGCGGUUAGGAUUCACGCUUGGUCUCUGCAUGCACACCAUUACUAUUCUGUCUCUCUGCCAUAGUCUAAAGUAGGACUGGUGUCUGAAUAUGCUAGAAAAGAAGGACUGGAGACGUGGUGACCGAGGCUGAAGUGGGUCAUGAGGCCAUUUUAGUGCUGUUUAAUUAGGAAAAUCCUCUUUAUUUUCGUAUCCUCCGAACGUAAGCUGUUUCUAAGGGCAGGACAGAAGGGCUAAAACCAGAUCAUCAGUUUAUAUAUUUUAGCUAGUUGCAUUUUUUCUCUUUCAACUCUAUGUAUAGAGAUGUGCGCUUUCAUUUCUGUUCUGGAUAGCUGGAGAGGAUCUUCGACAUUAAUCAUAGGCUAUAAAUCUCAUAGAUCUUUAAGUAGGCUAUAUUUUUAUUUUAUUGGGAACAAUUCCCAGCACUAUAGCAAAAAAAAAAAUACAUUUUUUAAAAGUAUUCUGUAGGCUUUUUUAAAAUAAUUUUUAAAACGUUAUGGAAACAUGUGAAAUAUUGCUUAAUGUAUACCAUGUCUGUCUUUAUUGUCUAUUAAUGCCAUUUUAAUGUCAAUCCACAUGAAAUCCGAGGAAAAGCAGCUGAUCCAUACACUGUUCUCAUUUGCAUUUCUCAC